AAAGAAGAAGAAUAAGAUCUAGAGCUGAUUUGCAACCCGCCGAAGCAGAUCUGGAGAAGAAGGAAAAUGUCUCCUGUCUCCACACGCACCGUUCUAGGAUCAGCUGGCCGUUAGGAAAACGCAAACAGCAAAGUGGUGAGUCGGAAAACCCUCACUAGUUGCACUGCAGUGAAGGUUAGCGCGAAAAUGUUGUGCAACCAGUUCUGAGUGUGUUGUAUCAUAAUUUCGUUUGGGCCUUAUGAAAGGCGCUACCUUCCCCCUUUGAGGCCUAGCCAGCCCUGUUUAGGUUUAGACGAAAAUAGCGAAUAUUAACGGUUUACUUUUCACUAAACAGAAUUGCGACUGUGGUUCAGGAAGCAGGUGUCCUUGCCAAAUAGAAGAUACCUAGCUUGCUAGCGACGUCCGGCCCGGAGCGCCUCCGGUGUGCGCGUGGGUGACCAACAGAGGACUUUACCCAUAACUGACCUUAGAGCAGUGUGUAAGCUCAUUCUCAUCCUACCCCGGACGUUGCAAACAAAUAUAGAAAGGUUCAGGAGAAACUCUUCCUCACUCCAAAACAGUCACCCAGGAAUUGAAGAGGAAGUGACAUCAGAGCAGAUGGAAUCAAAUCAGAGCCUGGCGGGGGUGGACUCCCAGGGCAACAUGGUGUUCAGAGUGGUUAAACCUGUCAUGGGCAUCUUCCAAGUCUCCUCAGAACAGACCAACUCUGUCGGACAGGGGGGGUCGCAGCAGAUGAUGGUUGGGGGGCUGACGGGGUUACAAGGGUUAUCCAACCUCCCCUCCAUGGUGCUGGGGGAUGGACAGGGUCAGGGCCAGCAGCAAAUGGGGGACGUGAACCAGAUGCAAGCCCAGAUUCAGAUCCCAGCAGAGGACAUGUCCCAAACCCAGGUUGCCGCUCCGAACCACAACCACGUACCCCAUGUUCCGUUUGCAGAGGUGUCGUCUCUCUUGGACCCCAACAUGAAGAGUUCCAAGGCCCGCAAGUACCUGAUACCCUAUGACGAGAUCAAGCGUCGUCUGGAGGCUCCAGAGAAGAUGUCUCUGCGUUCACUAGCAGCCUACACCAGGGUCAGCCGUGGCCCGGCCAGCAAGAAAACCCUGCAGGAGUCUCUAAAUAUACUGGGUCUUACUCCUGGUACUACUACUUCUGUGUCUUCUUCCUUUUCCAAGCUCACAGAGGGUGACACCAAAGCCCUGUGUAACGACAUGAAGGACUUUGCCCAUGACUACAUAGACUUUGGCAACAUGGCCAAGCAGCUUAUUCCAGAGACCAACACUGUCCAACACUGGUCCAAGGUCAUAGAAACCAGGAGCCACCUGGAGGCGAUGAGGAAGUGUUUUCGUGACCCGGUCAACAGUGCGUCGUUCGACAACGUGACUCAUGGGUUGGGCCUCGGGAUGCUCGACGCCGCCCUCGACAUGAUUACCAUGGUGAUCGACAAACAAAUUCGCAUCCUGUCUGGCGCUGCGGCAACCGAUCCCGUCGACACCGGCCCUCCAAUGAGACGCAUCCGCCGCCGCCACCGCAAGCCCCGAGACAACGGCAACGACAAAUUGCACGGGUCGCUGGGCGGGGUUAAAGGUCAAGAGAAAGGGCCAGGGAAGGGCAAAGGGAGGGGCAGAGGCAGGAAGAAGAUGCGGCUGCAGGAGUCUGGAGCUCCGGUUGGUGUUGCCAUGGAUACAACCCAGCAGCAUGAUCAAGAGCAUUGUCAGCCGGAGGAUGUGGAGAGCAGUGUUCUCACACUCGUCUCUGUUGGUUACGAGACCAUCUCCAGCGGCCUCAAUGCCACAGGACAGAUCUGAAGAUGUUUAACGGUUGAACAAACAAUGCUUAACAGGGGAAUCGGACUUUGCUUAAUAUUUUCCCAUGGGGAAGCUGGGAGCGGAACUGUCUUAGUAACUUUGUGGAACAUUGUGGAACGUUGUGAUGUUUAGACGCAACUCUGCUUUGGCCCACAGAACCCCAAACACUGAGAGGGAGGCAUUCAGUGACCUCACAGCAUUCUGGUUUAGAGUUUUGUUUUUGAAUGUUGCAGCUCUUGCCUACUGAUAAAUUCAAUCAAUUGAAUUUAGUUUUUUGUUGUCAGUUAGCACAGAGGUGAAGAACGCAGCUCUGUUCAAGUGGAAUUCAAGUCAAUCCAAAGAUAACCUGAUUAUAUUGAAAAACCUACAAUGUAGAAAUGAGUCUUAAUUCUGGUCUUUGGGUUAAGGCAGUCCAUUCAUUCCACCUACUCAUCUGGUAUUUGAUAGCCCCGUUUAUUUAUAUCAUGAGUGGACUAGUUAUAGCCCUCUCUCAAUCUCCAUGAUUGUAACAUAGGGAACACAUCAUGCCAGUACUUUGUCAAUGAUUGUAUGUUUAUAUUGAAACCUGGAUUGCUGAAAUAUUGUAUUAAAGCUUUCAUUUUAUUAAUUCACCUCCAUGAUGUUCUUUAUUUCUGACAGAAUCAAUGGCACAGCAUCUGAUCUGUUUCACUGAGGGAGUUUGACUAAGCUGAACCGGGGUGGCCUGUGACGUGACCGGGAAAAAGCGAUAAAUUGAAUAGUAAUCUGUGCCGCCCGGUCAACAAGGCAGCAUCAUUCAGAAACAUGGUGCAUCUUUUCAAAUUCAUUUUCUUUGAGAAGGCAGAUAAAGUACAUCAUGUGUUUUAUCACGAGAGCAAAAAUGUUUUUCACGUGAUACCUUGGAACCUUCAUAACUGCACGUGCUUGACAUACGGGCCAGCCGGUGUUAUGAUACUGGUGGAUUGUACGGUUGUGGCUACCAGUACUGCUCCAUCUUGGGGCGGCAGGGUAGCCUAGUGGUUAGAGGGUUGGACUAGUAACCGAAAGGUUGCAAGUUCGGAUCCCCGAGCUGACAAGGUACAAAUCUGUCAUUCUGCCCCUGAACAGGCAGUUAACCCACUGUUCCUAGGCUGUCAUGGGAAAUAAGAAUUUGUUCUUAA
This is a long non-coding RNA of Oncorhynchus tshawytscha (Chinook salmon), 2942 nucleotides long. The record is from Ensembl. NCBI's taxonomy places the organism in Eukaryota, Metazoa, Chordata, Actinopteri, Salmoniformes, Salmonidae.